GACGUAGGGCGCGAGCGUUGUCCGGAUUUAUUGGGCGUAAAGAGCUCGUAGGCGGUUUGUCGCGUCUGCUGUGAAAACUCGGGGCUUAACCCCGGGCCUGCAGUGGGUACGGGCAGACUAGAGUGCGGUAGGGGAGACUGGAAUUCCUGGUGUAGCGGUGAAAUGCGCAGAUAUCAGGAGGAACACCGGUGGCGAAGGCGGGUCUCUGGGCCGUAACUGACGCUGAGGAGCGAAAGCGUGGGGAGCGAACAGG
This 253-nucleotide ribosomal RNA is filed under the name uncultured bacterium. Its description in RNAcentral is "partial 16S ribosomal RNA". It matches the Rfam family "Bacterial small subunit ribosomal RNA", at positions 524 to 776 of the family's 1533-position model. The record is from RNAcentral.